This 840-nucleotide ribosomal RNA is filed under the name uncultured bacterium. RNAcentral describes it as "bacterial SSU rRNA". It matches the Rfam family "Bacterial small subunit ribosomal RNA", at positions 23 to 898 of the family's 1533-position model. The record is from RNAcentral.
CUCAGAAUCAACGCUGGCGGCGCGCUUAACACAUGCAAGUCGAGCGAGAAAGGGAGCAAUCCUGAGUAAAGCGGCGCACGGGUGAGUAACACGUGGAUCAUCUACCCUAUGGUGGGGAAUAACCUUGGGAAACUGAGGCUAAUACCGCAUAAGUUCGAGAGAAGAAAGCCGAAAGGCGCCAUUGGAGGAGUCCGCGGCCGAUUAGCUAGUUGGUGGGGUAAGAGCUCACCAAGGCGAUGAUCGGUAGCCGGCCUGAGAGGGCACACGGCCACACUGGCACUGAAACACGGGCCAGACUCCUACGGGGGGCAGCAGUGGGGAAUCUUGCACAAUGGGGGAAACCCUGAUGCAGCGACGCCGCGUGAGUGAUGAAGCCCUUCGGGGUGUAAAGCUCUUUCGGCAGGGACGAUAAUGACGGUACCUGCAGAAGAAGCUGCGGCUAACUACGUGCCAGCAGCCGCGGUAAUACGUAGGCAGCAAGCGUUGUUCGGAAUUACUGGGCGUAAAGAGUGCGUAGGCGGUUUGGCAAGUUUGGUGUGAAAUCUCCCGGCUUAACUGGGAGGGUGCGCCGAAAACUGCCAGGCUAGAGUGUGGGAGAGGAAAGUGGAAUUCCUGGUGUAGCGGUGAAAUGCGUAGAUAUCAGGAGGAACACCUGCGGUGUAGACGGCUUUCUGGACCACUACUGACGCUGAGGCACGAAAGCGUGGGGAGCAAACAGGAUUAGAUACCCUGGUAGUCCACGCCCUAAACGAUGCAGACUUGGUGUUGGCCCUUCAUUGGGUCAGUGCCGAAGCUAACGCGGUAAGUCUGCCGCCUGGGGAGUACGGUCGCAAGGCUGAA